CCUACGGGUGGCAGCAGUGAGGAAUAUUGGUCAAUGGACGAGAGUCUGAACCAGCCAAGUAGCGUGAAGGAUGCCUGCCCUAUGGGUUGUAAACUUCUUUUAUAUGGGAAUAAAACGUUCCACGUGUGGGAUUUUGUAUGUACCAUAUGAAUAAGGAUCGGCUAACUCCGUGCCAGCAGCCGCGGUAAUACGGAGGUUCCGAGCGUUAUCCGGAUUUAUUGGGUUUAAAGGGAGCGUAGGUGGAUUGUUAAGUCAGUUGUGAAAGUUUGCGGCUCAACCGUAAAAUUGCAGUUGAAACUGGCAGUCUUGAGUACAGUAGAGGUGGGCGGAAUUCGUGGUGUAGCGGUGAAAUGCUUAGAUAUCACGAAGAACUCCGAUUGCGAAGGCAGUUCACUGGACUGCAACUGACACUGAGGCUCGAAAGUGUGGGUAUCAAACAGGAUUAGAUACCCUGGUAGUC
Molecule: ribosomal RNA, 460 nt
Filed under: uncultured bacterium
Lineage: Bacteria
Description: partial 16S ribosomal RNA
Rfam family: Bacterial small subunit ribosomal RNA
Source: RNAcentral